GGACGAACGCUGGCGGCGUACCUAAUACAUGCAAGUCGAACGGUCUUUCUAUGGAAGCUUGCUCCACUGAGAAGAUAGUGGCGAACGGGUGAGUAACACGUGGGUAACCUGCCCAUAAGAGGGGGAUAACAUCCGGAAACGGGUGCUAAUACCGCAUAGUUUUCUUGAUCGCAUGAUUGAGAAAGGAAAGACGGCCUUUGUGCUGUCGCUUAUGGAUGGACCCGCGGCGUAUUAGUUAGUUGGUGAGGUAACGGCUCACCAAGACGAUGAUACGUAGCCGACCUGAGAGGGUGAUCGGCCACAUUGGGACUGAGACACGGCCCAAACUCCUACGGGAGGCAGCAGUAGGGAAUCUUCCGCAAUGGACGAAAGUCUGACGGAGCAACGCCGCGUGAGUGAAAGAAGGUUUUCGGAUCGUAAAACUCUGUUGUCAGAGAAGAACAAGUUGGAGAGUAACUGCUCCAGCCUUGACGGUAUCUGACCAGAAAGCCACGGCUAACUACGUGCCAGCCGCCGC
This 517-nucleotide ribosomal RNA is filed under the name uncultured bacterium. RNAcentral describes it as "bacterial SSU rRNA". It matches the Rfam family "Bacterial small subunit ribosomal RNA", at positions 27 to 518 of the family's 1533-position model. The record is from RNAcentral.